UUAAAUUGAAGAGUUUGAUCAUGGCUCAGAUUGAAACGACUGGCGGCAGGCCUAAACAACAUGCAAGUCGAGCGGAAACGAGUUAUCUGAACC
Molecule: ribosomal RNA, 93 nt
Filed under: Vibrio parahaemolyticus
Lineage: Bacteria; Pseudomonadati; Pseudomonadota; Gammaproteobacteria; Vibrionales; Vibrionaceae
Description: partial 16S ribosomal RNA
Source: RNAcentral